AACGAGCAAGGAGAAGUUAAAUGUAAGAGGGGAGAGCUCCUUAGGCGGCUGAACCCUAUGGGCCAACCCUUAGGGGGGCCAAUCCCUAGGGGGACCAACCUAAUGGCCUUCUUCUUUACAUUUUUUCGUUCUUCCUCUACCCUAUUUUUUAUUUGAAUGGAUCCUAAUGCUUGUGCUCUUUAGAUUCCUUAUGCUGAAUUCUUUUUUCUUGCAGGCCUUCCCCGUUGAACAUUCUGCAGACUUGGGAACAACCAAGGAGGCCCCGUUUCUCAAUGAUUGAGGAAGGGCUCCCCUUUUUUGGUCUUUCCAAGGUCUUUUGGGAGCAAGUCCAGACUUAUGAACGUACAACUCUUCCUCUGCCAGAGAAGAAAGGCUUGUUUCUAUAUGCAUCGACUUGUGGAGGUUGAGAUGACUUCUCCCAUUCCUAUCGCAUUCCCCGCAUAUGCAUAGAGAAGCAAGAGUACCCUUUCAAUCCCCUUCGCUUCUUGUCUAAUUCAUCUGGUC
This 504-nucleotide long non-coding RNA is filed under the name Panax ginseng (ginseng). RNAcentral's name for it is "long non-coding RNA (PGIN_LNC004293)". Lineage: Eukaryota; Viridiplantae; Streptophyta; Magnoliopsida; Apiales; Araliaceae. The record is from RNAcentral.